This 324-nucleotide ribosomal RNA is filed under the name uncultured bacterium. Its description in RNAcentral is "bacterial SSU rRNA". It matches the Rfam family "Bacterial small subunit ribosomal RNA", at positions 154 to 479 of the family's 1533-position model. The record is from RNAcentral.
AAAUUUGGAUUAAUACCUCAUAGUGUUUUGAAUGGCAUCAUUUAAGAACUAAACAUUUAUGGGUACAAGAUGACUAUGCGUCCUAUUAGUUAGUUGGUAAGGUAACGGCUUACCAAGACAUCGAUAGGUAGGGGUCCUGAGAGGAGAUCCCCCACACUGGUACUGAGACACGGACCAGACUCCUACGGGAGGCAGCAGUGAGGAAUAUUGGACAAUGGAGGCAACUCUGAUCCAGCCAUGCCGCGUGAAGGAAGACUGCCUAUGGGUUGUAAACUUCUUUUAUAUAGGAAGAAACACUCUUACGUGUAAGAGCUUGACGGNACU